GAACGCUAGCGGCAGGCCUAAUACAUGCAAGUCGAACGGGAUCCAAUUUUUAGCUUGCUAAAGAUUGGUGAGAGUGGCGCACGGGUGCGUAACGCGUGAGCAACCUACCCAUAUCAGGGGGAUAGCCCGAAGAAAUUCGGAUUAACACCGCAUAAGACUACGAGAUGGCAUCAUCAAGUAGUUAAAUAUUUAUAGGAUAUGGAUGGGCUCGCGUGACAUUAGCUAGUUGGUGAGGUAACGGCUCACCAAGGCGACGAUGUCUAGGGGCUCUGAGAGGAGAAUCCCCCACACUGGUACUGAGACACGGACCAGACUCCUACGGGAGGCAGCAGUAAGGAAUAUUGGUCAAUGGACGGAAGUCUGAACCAGCCAUGCCGCGUGCAGGAUGACCGCCCUAUGGGUUGUAAACUGCUUUUGUCGAGGAAUAAACCUAUCUACGUGUAGAUAGCUGAAUGUACUCGAAGAAUAAGGAUCGGCUAACUCCGUGCCAGCAGCCGCGGUAAUACGGAGGAUCCGAGCGUUAUCCGGAUUUAUUGGGUUUAAAGGGUGCGUAGGCGGCACUUUAAGUCAGGGGUGAAAGACGGCAGCUUAACUGUCGCAGUGCCUUUGAUACUGAAGUGCUUGAAUGCGGUUGAAGACGGCGGAAUGAGACAAGUAGCGGUGAAAUGCAUAGAUAUGUCUCAGAACACCGAUUGCGAAGGCAGCUGUCUAAGCCGUUAUUGACGCUGAUGCACGAAAGCGUGGGGAUCGAACAGGAUUAGAUACCCUGGUAGUCCACGCCCUAAACGAUGAUAACUCGAUGUUUGCGAUAUACCGUAAGCGUCCAAGCGAAAGCGUUAAGUUAUCCACCUGGGGAAGUACGCCCGCAAGGGG
RNAcentral lists this ribosomal RNA (873 nucleotides) under uncultured bacterium. Its description in RNAcentral is "bacterial SSU rRNA". It matches the Rfam family "Bacterial small subunit ribosomal RNA", at positions 31 to 895 of the family's 1533-position model. The record is from RNAcentral.